RNAcentral lists this long non-coding RNA (631 nucleotides) under Mytilus galloprovincialis (Mediterranean mussel). Lineage: Eukaryota; Metazoa; Mollusca; Bivalvia; Mytilida; Mytilidae. The record is from RNAcentral.
CUGGGAAAAAUAAUUUAUUUAUAAAACAAAAACUUAAAUAAACUUAUCUAGGCUUUUUAUAUUGUACAACAUUGAAUGACAGUUGAGAAUAUUGACCGCAUUCACCUUUUACUCAACCUUUUCAUAGUUUUUUCACUAAGGGAACCACUAUAAAAUACAUACAGUACUGUAUAAAUAGAUGGUACUAUUGAUCACCUGUUAUCGCGAUAUUUACAUUAAACGAUCGAGCUCUUUUGGUCAUACUCGAUUGACAGAUAUUCUUCAGACCUCGACUGAACACCAGUCGCGACUUCUCGGCCAUUCUCACUACAUCUUUAUGGGUGAAGCAAAAAUAGAAAAGUAGUUGUACUGGGCAUUGUUCGAUAAAAUAUCUUUCAAUCAUUUGACAAGUCUCAAAACUCAUUCGAUCUUAUUAAUUAAAGGAGCGACAAAAACUACUACACACACUGAUCUUUAAAUUGGGGUUUUUAAUAAGCGGUACUUAAAGUCUCUUUCAAACGAAAUCUCACUUGACUUUUAUAUAGUCACAUUUAUUCAGCCCAAUAUUUAAAAUACAUAAAAAAAAUUAAAACAAUUGGGGAAAAAAACAUUCAAAUUAAAAAAUGAACAGUGAGAAAUGCCACAAAUUAAU